AUGAACGUCUACCCAACUACUCUGUUAGCAGCAUCAGGCGAGACUGGCACGCACCUCAUCGCCGCCGCUGACCUCGACGCGGCAGUUGUCGACGCCGAGCGCCUCCAUGGCCGAGAGCAAGUGCUCGACCGUGCGCACCCGCGCGCCGCCGCUCCCGCUCCCGCUCCGCAGCGUGGUGCAGAGCGGAGACUGUGGCUCGGCAUUCCCCGCCUCCGCCGCCACCCUCGCCUCCUCCACGACGAAGUACCUCCCCUCGCCGGCGCGCGCAGGGAGCAGCGUGGCGGUGGCGCGCGCGCCCGAGUGGAGCCCCACGCCCGACCUGCUCACCGCCGCCGCGAGCGUCUGCUGCGCCCGGCCCGUCUGGUGGGAGGGGGGCAAAAGGGGUUAGUCAAACAGCCAGUCAGCGCUCCAGGGUUUAGAGACAGGCUCCUCCGCUGA
Molecule: ribosomal RNA, 438 nt
Filed under: Triticum aestivum (bread wheat)
Lineage: Eukaryota; Viridiplantae; Streptophyta; Magnoliopsida; Poales; Poaceae
Description: partial small subunit ribosomal RNA
Source: RNAcentral